This 474-nucleotide ribosomal RNA is filed under the name uncultured bacterium. RNAcentral describes it as "bacterial SSU rRNA". It matches the Rfam family "Bacterial small subunit ribosomal RNA", at positions 1017 to 1498 of the family's 1533-position model. The record is from RNAcentral.
CCUUCGGGAGCUUUUAUACAGGUGCUGCACGGCUGUCGUCAGCUCGUGUCGUGAGAUGUUGGGUUAAGUCCCGCAACGAGCGCAACCCUCGUCACUAGUUACUAACGGUUCGGCCGAGGACUCUAGUGAGACUGCCUUCGUAAGGAGGAGGAAGGUGAGGACGACGUCAAGUCAUCAUGGCCCUUACGGCUAGGGCAACACACGUGCUACAAUGGUUGGGACAAUGAGACGCAAUACCGCGAGGUGGAGCAAAUCUAUAAACCCAAUCUUAGUUCGGAUUGUUCUCUGCAACUCGAGAACAUGAAGCUGGAAUCACUAGUAAUCGUAGAUCAGCUAUGCUACGGUGAAUACGUUCCCGGGUCUUGUACUCACCGCCCGUCACACCAUGGGAGUUGAUUUCACCCGAAGCGGGGAAGCUAAACUGGCUACCCUCCACGGUGGAAUUAGCGACUGGGGUGAAGUCGUAACAAGGUA